CCUACGGGGGGCUGCAGUGGGGAAUAUUGGACAAUGGGCGAAAGCCUGAUCCAGCCAUGCCGCGUGUGUGAAGAAGGCCUUCGGGUUGUAAAGCACUUUCAGUGGGGAAGAAAGCCUUGGGGCUAAUACCCUCGAGGAAGGACAUCACCCACAGAAGAAGCACCGGCUAACUCCGUGCCAGCAGCCGCGGUAAUACGGAGGGUGCGAGCGUUAAUCGGAAUUACUGGGCGUAAAGCGCGCGUAGGCGGUCUGAUAAGCCGGUUGUGAAAGCCCCGGGCUCAACCUGGGAACGGCAUCCGGAACUGUCAGGCUAGAGUGCAGGAGAGGAAGGUAGAAUUCCCGGUGUAGCGGUGAAAUGCGUAGAGAUCGGGAGGAAUACCAGUGGCGAAGGCGGCCUUCUGGACUGACACUGACGCUGAGGUGCGAAAGCGUGGGUAGCAAACAGGAUUAGCUACCCGGGUAGUC
This 465-nucleotide ribosomal RNA is filed under the name Vreelandella stevensii. RNAcentral's name for it is "partial 16S ribosomal RNA". It matches the Rfam family "Bacterial small subunit ribosomal RNA", at positions 338 to 795 of the family's 1533-position model. Lineage: Bacteria; Pseudomonadati; Pseudomonadota; Gammaproteobacteria; Oceanospirillales; Halomonadaceae. The record is from RNAcentral.